AGUCAUUGCCCAUGGAAUCUCAAACACUGGGUUGCUUUUCACCGAGGCCACGCGCCAGCGACUCUGAAGCCUCCUCUCCUCCAGCGGAUCGUGGCCCGCGGCUUCUCGCCCUCGCUUGCACGCUUUGCCCAAGAACUCUUCCCGGGGCAGAGAAGUUGUGGAAACAAGCGGCUGGCCCGACGGCGGAGAAAGCGGGCUGCGGGGCUGCAGGUCAGCGUGAUGGAAGAGAGGAAGGCGCACGGCGGGUGGAAUAAACGCGCAUGGGUGUGAGGACGGAGACGCCCCGAGGGGCUGAACGCGCGGAGC
Molecule: long non-coding RNA, 306 nt
Filed under: Homo sapiens (human)
Lineage: Eukaryota; Metazoa; Chordata; Mammalia; Primates; Hominidae
Description: non-protein coding lnc-TRIM11-4:1
Source: RNAcentral